CGCUCCUCUCACGGAGAUUAGGAUGAUGAUGACGGUGUGUGUACACGGAGUUACACCGAGAGUCCGCGGGUGACGGAGCUCCGGGUUUCCUCCUCCACCGCAUCGGAGUUACAGAGCAGACUCUUCUCCAUUUGUGAUUCAGCAGCUUGAGUGUGCACGAGUGGCUCUGCUUCCCAGAGUGCAGUGGGGCUUCGGAGCUUCUCUGGAAACGAGAGAGAAAAGAAACGAAAGGCCUCGAAGACACUUGGAGGAUCUUUACAAAGAACAGUGUCUGCAUGAUAUAUGUGGACAUCUAUUUUUCCACAUCAAACCUGGACAGACAGAUUUACGGAAAGCAGGAGAUCUUGUUCCUGAAAUACCUGCCAAGUUAGCCUCAUAAACGCAAGCAGUAACAUCAGGAGUUCUUCAGCAGCGUGCUUUUGAUUGCCGUGCACGAGACGGCUGAAGCACUUGAACAGAUGUGAAGGGAGAAAACUAGGACACGUCUCAUUUCUGUUGAAGGUAGAAGAGGACCGAGUAGGAUGACGGUGCAGGAUGGCAGAGGAGAAACGCGACUCGGUUUGUUGUGAUCUUCAGACGGGGUUUUGAACUGCUGAUCGCUCUGACACCGUCUCAGCGAUUACU
Ictalurus furcatus (blue catfish) is the source of this 624-nucleotide long non-coding RNA. RefSeq lists it as uncharacterized. Lineage: Eukaryota; Metazoa; Chordata; Actinopteri; Siluriformes; Ictaluridae. The transcript is spliced from 3 exons. The record is from RefSeq and is a predicted model, not a curated record.